AUACGUAGGUGGCAAGCGUUGUCCGGAAUUAUUGGGCGUAAAGCGCGCGCAGGCGGUCCUUUAAGUCUGAUGUGAAAGCCCACGGCUCAACCGUGGAGGGUCAUUGGAAACUGGGGGACUUGAGUGCAGAAGAGGAAAGUGGAAUUCCAAGUGUAGCGGUGAAAUGCGUAGAGAUUUGGAGGAACACCAGUGGCGAAGGCGACUUUCUGGUCUGUAACUGACGCUGAGGCACGAAAGCGUGGGGAGCAAACAGGAUUAGAUCCCCUGGUAGUCCACGCCGUAAACGAUGAGUGCUAAGUGUUAGGGGGUUUCCGCCCCUUAGUGCUGCAGCUAACGCAUUAAGCACUCCGCCUGGGGAGUACGGUCGCAAGACUGAAACUCAAAGGAAUUGGCGGGG
This 397-nucleotide ribosomal RNA is filed under the name uncultured bacterium. RNAcentral's name for it is "partial 16S ribosomal RNA". It matches the Rfam family "Bacterial small subunit ribosomal RNA", at positions 523 to 918 of the family's 1533-position model. The record is from RNAcentral.